Molecule: ribosomal RNA, 235 nt
Filed under: uncultured bacterium
Lineage: Bacteria
Description: partial 16S ribosomal RNA
Rfam family: Bacterial small subunit ribosomal RNA
Source: RNAcentral
CGGCGGACGGGUGAGUAAUGUCUGGGAAACUGCCCGAUGGAGGGGGAUAACUACUGGAAACGGUAGCUAAUACCGCAUAACGUCGCAAGACCAAAGAGGGGGACCUUCGGGCCUCUUGCCAUCGGAUGUGCCCAGAUGGGAUUAGCUAGUAGGUAAGGUAACGGCUUACCUAGGCGACGAUCCCUAGCUGGUCUGAGAGGAUGAUCAGCCACACUGGGACUGAGACACGGUCCAG